RNAcentral lists this ribosomal RNA (444 nucleotides) under uncultured bacterium. RNAcentral describes it as "bacterial SSU rRNA". It matches the Rfam family "Bacterial small subunit ribosomal RNA", at positions 354 to 796 of the family's 1533-position model. The record is from RNAcentral.
GUGAGGAAUAUUGGUCAAUGGGCGCGAGCCUGAACCAGCCAAGUAGCGUGGAGGACGACGGCCCUACGGGUUGUAAACUCCUUUUAUAAGGGGAUAAAGUUGGCCAUGUAUGGCCAUUUGCAGGUACCUUAUGAAUAAGCAUCGGCUAAUUCCGUGCCAGCAGCCGCGGUAAUACGGAAGAUGCGAGCGUUAUCCGGAUUUAUUGGGUUUAAAGGGAGCGUAGGCGGGCAGUCAAGUCAGCGGUCAAAUGGCGCGGCUCAACCGCGUUCCGCCGUUGAAACUGGCAGCCUUGAGUAUGCACAGGGUACAUGGAAUUCGUGGUGUAGCGGUGAAAUGCUUAGAUAUCACGAGGAACUCCGAUCGCGCAGGCAUUGUACCGGGGCAUUACUGACGCUGAGGCUCGAAGGUGCGGGUAUCAAACAGGAUUAGAAACCCCAGUAGUCC